Molecule: ribosomal RNA, 528 nt
Filed under: uncultured bacterium
Lineage: Bacteria
Description: bacterial SSU rRNA
Rfam family: Bacterial small subunit ribosomal RNA
Source: RNAcentral
GAAACUGGUGCUAAUACCGGAUAUCCUUCUUUUCUGCAGGGUAAAGAAGGAAAGGUGGCCUCUUCAUGAAAGCUACCGCAUAGGGAUGAGCCUGCGUACCAUUAGCUAGUAGGUGUGGGUAACGGCCCACCUAGGCAACGAUGGUUAGCGGGUCUGAGAGGAUGAUCCGCCACACUGGAACUGGAACACGGACCAGACUCCUACGGGAGGCAGCAGUGAGGAAUAUUGCGCAAUGGGGGAAACCCUGACGCAGCGACGCCGCGUGAGUGAGGAAGGUCUUCGGAUCGUAAAGCUCUGUCAGAAGGGAAGAAGUGUUAUAUGGUUAACACCCAUAUAAUUUGACGGUACCUUCAGAGGAAGCACCGGCUAACUCCGUGCCAGCAGCCGCGGUAAUACGGAGGGUGCGAGCGUUGUUCGGAAUUACUGGGCGUAAAGGGCGCGUAGGCGGCUUGAUAAGUCAGGUGUGAAAGUCCAUGGCUCAACCGUGGAAGUGCAUUUGAAACUGUCAGGCUUGAGUAUCGGAGGGGA